Physeter macrocephalus (sperm whale) is the source of this 1409-nucleotide RNA transcript. It is a transcript of the gene named chloride intracellular channel protein 5-like, with no coding region annotated. Lineage: Eukaryota; Metazoa; Chordata; Mammalia; Artiodactyla; Physeteridae. The record is from RefSeq and is a predicted model, not a curated record. The transcript is spliced from 2 exons.
GGAGUGUGAGACUUGUCCUCGGAUUGGACACCUCAGCCGCCGUCGAUGUAACUCCCUUUCCGAUUGGUUGGAUUCAGGUGGUGAGCUGCACAGUGCUGUCAGGGCCUCUCCAGUUGGAUGUUAGAGGCAUCAGCCCUGAGCUGGGAUCAGGGGUACAGAUAUAAGCAGAAGUGUCUCCUCACUGUUGUAGGUUGUUUUCUUUUAAACAUUUUAUUAGAAUUUUCAAGCAUUCAGGAAACUUAAAAAACACCCAUAUGCCCACCAUCUAGUUUCUGCAGUAGAGUUGUCCCUUCAACAGUGUGGCUCUGAACUAUGUGAGUCCACGUAUAUACAGGCUUUUUUCAAGAAAUAGUACUACGGUACUACACGAUCUGCAGUUGAUGGAACCCAUGAAUAUGGAACCAUGGAUACAGUUACAAAGGAAGUUAUAAUCGGAUUUUUGACUGCACGGAAGGUUGGCACCCCUAACCCUGACAUUGUUCAAGAAUCAGCUGUAAACAUAUUCUGUACUUGCUUUACCCAUGUAUCUAGCCAUCUGUUCAUCCAUCCAUUAAUUCAUCUUAUUGUUUGAUGCAUUUCAAUGUCAGUUGUCAUUGUUAUCAGUACACUUCACUUAGAAACAUUUCAGCAGCAGCAUAUCAAUAAUGGUAGUACAGAAUUUUUUUAGAGUUAUUCUUCAUUUUAAAUAAAAUUUACAAAGACUAAAAUGUACAAAUCUAAAGCAUACUGUUCUGAGUUUUGACAGAUACAUACACCUGUGUAAUUCAAAGUCCUGUCAAAAUGCACGACGUUUCAUUCCCCUGGGCAAGUACCUUUAUAACCCUUCCUGUCUACCCCUGUCCCCAGGUAACCACUGUUUGACUUUUUUAAAAGUUAAAGAUUUGUUUUACCCUCUGUAACAUCAUAUAAAAGGAAUAAAAUAAUAUAAUAAGUACUCUUUUGUGUCUGGUUGUUUCACUAACAUGAUGCAUUUGAAAUUUACCCAUGUUGUUGUGUGUAUCAGUACUUCAUACCUUUUUAUUAGGAGUCUUUGGCCCAACAUUGACCAAGAAAGCCUCAAGACAGGCCUGGCAGCAAGUUGGAGCCAGGCAAGGCCACAGCAGUCCUCUCUCAUGGAUCACUCAGUGACAGAAGUCAGUGGCCAUGUCAUUAGGACACUCAUGCAGCUCCAUGGAGGGCAGCGUGUGGGAAGGAACUGAGGCCUCCUGCCAGCAGCCAGACGAGUGAGCCAUCUUGGAAGCAAGUUCUGCAGCCCCAGGCAAGCCUUCCGAUGACUGCAGCUCUACCUUACAUAAUUGCAACCUCAUGGGAGAACUCAAGCCAGUAUUCCAUGGUGUUGAAGUAGUAGCCAGCAUUGCACAGUACAGAUACACCACAAUUUAUUUAUCCAUUUACCAGUUAAUGGACAC